Rhagoletis pomonella (apple maggot) is the source of this 1498-nucleotide long non-coding RNA. RefSeq lists it as uncharacterized. Lineage: Eukaryota; Metazoa; Arthropoda; Insecta; Diptera; Tephritidae. The record is from RefSeq and is a predicted model, not a curated record. The transcript has 2 exons.
CAACGACAACGUAAACGACAGCGAUGCCAGAGUGCGAACAAUCGCGUCGGCAGCAGCCGUGUCGCAACUAGUUUCAUUUGAACUGUUGGCCGGUGAGCACACACACUGAGCGUGUGGAGAUAUCCGUCGGCGAUUCGAUUGUGUAUGAACGCGUUGAAAAUUGCGGAACGGUGUAGAGUUAUGUGACUCAAGAAAAAAAAAUUAAAUUAUAAAACAUAAAACGAAAAGCUUUAGCUGUAAAAAAUAUAAAGCCGAAAUACUAAGAAACGUGGCAACUGUGUGUGGUAUUUAAAGGCCUGAUACGCGCAAGAACAAUGCAAAAUAAUUGUGCAUACUUUUAGGCAAUUAAACUGCGAAAGAGAAGUGAAAAAAGUUCUCACUGAUGACUUAGGGAAGCACAUACAUUUUCGGAAGCGGAUCUAUGAAAAAUUCAAUACAAAACUUUCAGCAAAAAGCAGCGGAUCAAACAAAUAAAGCACACUUUAAUACAGAACUAAGAUACUCCCGAACGAAUUCAAGUGCGUGAAGUGUAUAAAUGGAAUAUAGAAAAAAUUUAGUGAGAAAAGUGCAUAAGUGAAUGCAGUAAAAUUGAAUUUGCAAUGACAUGUUUAGGGUUUUAUGUAAAGGAAAGAAAAGUAAAAUAUUAAAACUUUGAAAACGGGCAAAAACCAAAAAACUCGAACAGUGGAAAAAUUCACAAAAACUUUCACUGAUAGCUGUUACGCAUACGCAGCUGCGCAGUGGAAUUUUGUGUGGGGGUCAGAAAAAAUUUCAUCUCAAUUCAAUUUGGCUGCCUUCAUCAAAAUUGAUUCCUGCUGAGUAUUUGACAAGACAAAAUCACUUGCCGAACGCUUCGUUGAUAAACAAAAACACUAUUGUAUAAACACACAGCGCGCAAUUGUUAUUCUAAUGGCAACUACAUAUUUUUAUAAAUUUUUGUGUGCCGCAUAGUUUCAUACGCUAGUAAUAUUUUGUCGAGCGAAAAGUGUAAAACAAUGGCAAAAACAGGAAACGUAAUCUAAAAACAAAGUGAAACAAAAAAAAUAAAAAAUUUAGAAAAAAAAUAUUAAAUUCUACGAAAUUCUGCAACUGCAUAACUCAAUGCAAAUCGCAUGCAUCGCUGAGCUACUGCGGCUGUGUGGCAUCGAACGAGUGCGUGGCUUUGUUUUUUCUGCAAUUCUCGCAAGCGGCGUACAAUGAAACUGUUAAGCUUAGAAAACCAAAACAAAACUUUGAACUUUGCACAAGUUCAGCGAGUGGAAGGAAAUGCAAAAUAAUAAUAACAUGAAUUACAGUAAAAACAAAGAAAACAUUGGGUUAAAAUGAAAGUGAAGCGCUAUGCGAAAGUGAGGGAUUGGGGAAUAUAAGCAAACAAAAAAAAAAAAAGCUAGAAGAGUAAAAUGCAAAAACUAACAUCAAUUAAGUAAGCAACUGCUGCAGGUGUGUUAGUCGGUGAAAAUUUUCGCGAACACUGAAAAAGUGGGCGCGAAAUAAAAUA